CUUGAUCCAUUGGCUAGGAAUUAACAAGGCUUUAGUUGCACAUUUGAUCCAAGGGCUAGGAAUGGCAAAGACCUUUGUAUAGUAAGGAGGUUUAGGCACUUAAAGGACUUAGAAAAAUCAGAUUUUCACUCCUCUUUUCCUCUUCAAAACCGUGAACCAUUCCCCUUCAUACUAUUCAUCCCAAAAUUCUCAUUUCUUGACCAAAUCAUCUCAUCCAAAGCUAGUUGAAUCCUUGGAACUUGCAAGAGUAACAUCACUAAGGAAACGAGUAACGGUGUUUAAUUGCGCGUUCGAUUGUGUGAUUGGAAACUUUUGCCGAGACGAUGGAGCGCCAUCUGAGACCGUAGGCCGUGUGGACGGCGAGGACUUC
Trifolium pratense (red clover) is the source of this 370-nucleotide long non-coding RNA. RefSeq lists it as uncharacterized. NCBI's taxonomy places the organism in Eukaryota, Viridiplantae, Streptophyta, Magnoliopsida, Fabales, Fabaceae. The record is from RefSeq and is a predicted model, not a curated record. The transcript is spliced from 3 exons.